Molecule: small RNA, 81 nt
Filed under: Pseudomonas aeruginosa PAK
Lineage: Bacteria; Pseudomonadati; Pseudomonadota; Gammaproteobacteria; Pseudomonadales; Pseudomonadaceae
Description: potential sRNA
Source: RNAcentral
GUGAUGCGCGGGCCCACCCGCCAACCGACUCCCGUAGGGCGAAUAGCCGCCCGCGGCUAUCCGCCGGACCGAGGCCCAGGC